AGUGGCGGACGGGUGAGUAACGCGUAAGAAUCUAACUUCAGGACGGGGACAACAGUUGGAAACGACUGCUAAUACCCGAUGUGCCGCAAGGUGAAACCUAAUUGGCCUGAAGAAGAGCUUGCGUCUGAUUAGCUAGUUGGUGGGGUAAAGGCCUACCAAGGCGACGAUCAGUAGCUGGUCUGAGAGGAUGAGCAGCCACACUGGGACUGAGACACGGCCCAGACUCCUACGGGAGGCAGCAGUGGGAAAUUUUCCGCAAUGGGCGAAAGCCUGACGGAGCAACGCCGCGUGAGGGAGGAAGGUCUUUGGAUUGUAAACCUCUUUUCUCAAGGAAGAAGUUCUGACGGUACUUGAGGAAUCAGCCUCGGCUAACUCCGUGCCAGCAGCCGCGGUAAUACGGGGGAGGCAAGCGUUAUCCGGAAUUAUUGGGCGUAAAGCGUCCGCAGGUGGUCAGCCAAGUCUGCCGUCAAAUCAGGUUGCUUAACGACCUAAAGGCGGUGGAAACUGGCAGACUAGAGAGCAGUAGGGGUAGCAGGAAUUCCCAGUGUAGCGGUGAAAUGCGUAGAGAUUGGGAAGAACAUCGGUGGCGAAAGCGUGCUACUGGGCUGUAUCUGACACUCAGGGACGAAAGCUAGGGGAGCGAAAGGGAUUAGAUACCCCUGUAGUCCUAGCCGUAAACGAUGGAUACUAGGCGUGGCUU
Molecule: ribosomal RNA, 700 nt
Filed under: uncultured bacterium
Lineage: Bacteria
Description: bacterial SSU rRNA
Rfam family: Bacterial small subunit ribosomal RNA
Source: RNAcentral